CUGCUGACAGAUAUCCGGCAAACUGAUUUUUCAUUUCAAGGCAACCUACAGGAGACAUCAUUGUGAUAGAAACAUCUGUAGAACACAUCAUUCAGCCCAGAAAUCCGGUUCUGCUCAGAUCUGCUUCUAGAAAAUAUACCACAUGAGCACUGGAAUACAUGUGCUAGUUUCAGCAAGAAAAGUUCAACGGUCCUUGGUCUUCUCACUUUCUAGCCAAAUCAGGACUUUUUCAGGUAGUACCUACCAAAAGUUGUCCAAGGAGGGACAAGCAUUGAACAACAGUGACGGAACAAUUGUUGCCCAAGACUCACUGAUGUGGAUGGAAUGUGAAGAGCAUCCUGAACAGCUGCAUCAAUGGGAAUUGCACCGAUUUUAAGACCUUGAAGCAGAUAGUGAAGACAGCUGAGAAGAUCAUCAUGGUCUCUCUUUCCUCCCUCACAGACAAUUACACCACACGAGGCAUUCGCAAAGCCAUUAAAUUACACUUAUAAAAACAUCUUACUCAAAGUAUCUGUCUAAAUCUAGUUCAAGACAAUGUGCAUUGUUAAAAGCGCUAUACAAAUAAAAAUGAAUUGAUUUGAAUUGAAUGAUGCCACACACCCUUCAUCCUUCUAUCACACUUAUGCACACUUAUCCUCAAACGUGUUUGGUAUUUACUUGCUUUGUGAUUUGUGAUUAAUGUUGUGAUAUGCUAUAAAAAUUAAACCUAGACACUGUAAUGUUAAGGCCAAGGUUUGGGGAAGUGUUUGGUGAAAGAUUGAUAAAGACAAAAUAUUUAGUUUAAAGUUACAAUAGUUAAAAGGGGUAAAGUUCAUUGUAGUCUGUUGCUUUUGUUUCUCUGCAGUGCAACACAAAUGAAGUCCUGAAGAAAAACAUUUACUGAACAAAUCUACUGUAGUUUAUUUGCUUGACUAAUUUAAUAUUAGAAUGAGACCUAUAGCAGAUUUUCUUCUUUCCUGUUUUUCUUUUUGCAGUAUUCUCUGUUACCUAUACCUUUUUUUCUUAUUUGUAAUUUGUUCUU
This is a long non-coding RNA of Silurus meridionalis, 1021 nucleotides long. RefSeq lists it as uncharacterized. The record is from RefSeq and is a predicted model, not a curated record. The transcript is spliced from 4 exons. Lineage: Eukaryota; Metazoa; Chordata; Actinopteri; Siluriformes; Siluridae.